GUAAUCGCAAUAUAAAGAUAGCACACUUUUGAACACCCGCAAUAUAAAGCUAGCACACUUUAGAACAUCAGUCAAACAACAACAACAACAAAGCAACAAAGCCUUUAGUCCCAAACAAGUUGGGUAGGCUAAAGGUGAAACCAAUAAGAUCUCGCAACAACUCAUGACUCUGGCACAUAGAUAGCAAGCUUCCACGCACCCCUGUCCAUAGCUAGUUCUUUGGUGAUACUCCAAUCCAUCAGGUCUCUUUUAACGGACUCCUCCCAUGUCAAAUUCGGUCUACCCCGCCCUCUCUUGACAUUCUCCGCACGCUUUAGCCGUCCAUUAUGCACUGGAGCUUCUGAAGGCCUGCGCUGAAUAUGCCCAAACCAUCUCAGACGAUGUUGGACAAGCUUCUCCUCAAUUGGUGCUACCCCAACUCUAUCUCGUAUAUCAUCAUUCCGGACUCGAUCCUUCCUCGUGUGGCCACACAUCCAUCUCAACAUACGCAUCUCCGCCACACCUAACUGUUGAACAUGUCGUCUUUUAGUCGGCCAACACUCCGCGCCAUACAACAUUGCGGGUCGAACCGCCGUCCUGUAGAACUUGCCUUUUAGUUUUUGUGGCACUCUCUUGUCACAGAGAAUGCCAGAAGCUUGGCGCCACUUCAUCCAUCCGGCUUUAAUUCGAUGGUUCACAUCUUCAUCAAUAUCCCAUCCUCCUGCAACAUUGACCCCAAAUACCGAAAGAUGUCCUUCCGAGGUAUCACCCGGCCAUCAAGCCUAACCUCCUCCUCCUCACACCUAGUAGUACUGAAACCGCACAUCAUGUACUCGGUUUUAGUUCUACUAAUAAGCCUAAACCCUUUCGAUUCCAAGGUUUGUCUCCAUAACUCAACUUCCUAUUUAUCAACAUCAGUCAAACACCAACAACAUAAUUCCACAUCAAGAACAGCUGGUACAGCCAAUAUCAAUGUCUUCCUGGCUCUAAUAAGAAUAUUGCUCCGUACAAGUAAGAAACCAGAUUACACUGCACACAAGCAUGCAGUGCAAAAUUUCCAAGGUAUAACAUAGCUCAGCGCCCCCUGCCACGACCGCGCCCACGACCACGGCCGCGCCCACGACCCAUAGGUUUCCCUGCA
This 1120-nucleotide long non-coding RNA is filed under the name Triticum aestivum (bread wheat). RNAcentral's name for it is "long non-coding RNA (TAES_LNC013375)". Lineage: Eukaryota; Viridiplantae; Streptophyta; Magnoliopsida; Poales; Poaceae. The record is from RNAcentral.